ACACGCAUGACACACUGCAUAUCAAUAAGCGGAGGAAAAGAAACUAACAAGGAUUCCCCUAGUAACGGCGAGUGAAGCGGGAAGAGCUCAAAUUUGAAAUCUUAAAGGGUUUCCCUUUACGAAUUGUAGUUUAAAGAAGUGUUUUCUGUUGGAGUUUCGGUAAAAGUUCUUUGGAAUAGGACAUCAUAGAGGGUGAGAAUCCCGUAUUUGACCGUUACUUUCCAGCUGUGUGAUACACUUUCAAAGAGUCGGAUUGUUUGGGAAUGCAGUCCAAAAUGGGUGGUAAAUUUCAUCUAAAGCUAAAUAUUGGCGAGAGACCGAUAGCGAACAAGUACCGUGAGGGAAAGAUGAAAGGAACUUUGAAAAGAGAGUUAAACAGUACGUGAAAUUGUCAAAAGGGAAGCGUUUGACACUAGUGUUGUUUUUCCGAAAAUCAAUUACGAAUGUUUUAUUUUUGAGGAGUUAUGACUUCAUCGGCUUGCUCCUUUCUUUAUGAAACUUUCUUAAUGCACUUUUCGGUUAACAAGUCAACAUCAAUUUCUUUUGUUGUAAAAGGGUAUGAGGAAGGUGGCUUUCCUUUCGGAGAAAGUGUUUAUAGCCUUGUACCUCUGCAAUCGGAGAGAUUGAGGUCUGCAGCGUAGAUCCUUCGGGGUUAGAUACAUUUGUGCUAAGUUAUAGCUUUUCAUAGACAACUUGUUGACUAUGUUAAGUCUUGUAGCUUACUCGCUUAUGCUAUUUUACCUACGCUUAGGAUGUUGAGCGCAUGUCUCUCUCU
Molecule: ribosomal RNA, 775 nt
Filed under: uncultured Neocallimastigales
Lineage: Eukaryota; Fungi; Neocallimastigomycota; Neocallimastigomycetes; Neocallimastigales
Description: partial large subunit ribosomal RNA
Rfam family: Eukaryotic large subunit ribosomal RNA
Source: RNAcentral